AUUGAACGCUGGCGGCAUUCUUUACACAUGCAAGUCGAACGGUAACAGGUUAAGCUGACGAGUGGCGAACGGGUGAGUAAUGCAUCGGAACGUGCCCGGUCGUGGGGGAUAACACUUCGAAAGAAGUGCUAAUACCGCAUACGAUCUAAGGAUGCAAGCGGGGGACCGUAAGGCCUCGCGCGAUCGGAGCGGCCGAUGUCAGAUUAGGUAGUUGGUGGGGUAAAGGCCUACCAAGCCGACGAUCUGUAGCUGGUCUGAGAGGACGACCAGCCGCAGUGGGGCUGAGACACGGCCCAGACUCCUACGGGAGGCAGCAGUGGGGAAUUUUGGACAAUGGGCGCAAGGCUGAUCGAGAAAUGGCGCGUGCAGGAAGAAGGACUUCGGGUUGUAAACUGCUUUUGUACGGAGCGAAAAGGCUCUCUCUAAUACAGGGGGCUGAUGACGGUACCGUAAGAAUAAGCACCGGCUAACUACGUGCCAGCCGCCGCAGUAA
RNAcentral lists this ribosomal RNA (493 nucleotides) under uncultured bacterium. RNAcentral's name for it is "partial 16S ribosomal RNA". It matches the Rfam family "Bacterial small subunit ribosomal RNA", at positions 29 to 523 of the family's 1533-position model. The record is from RNAcentral.